This 292-nucleotide ribosomal RNA is filed under the name uncultured bacterium. Its description in RNAcentral is "partial 16S ribosomal RNA". It matches the Rfam family "Archaeal small subunit ribosomal RNA", at positions 455 to 747 of the family's 1478-position model. The record is from RNAcentral.
GUGCCAGCCCCGCGGUAAUACCGGCAGCCCGAGUGAUGGCCGAUCUUAUUGGGCCUAAAGCGUCCGUAGCUGGCUGCGCAAGUCCAUCGGGAAAUCCACUCGCUUAACGAGUGGGCGUCCGGCGGAAACUGUGCGGCUUGGGACCGGAAGAUCCAAGGGGUACGUCCGGGGUAGGAGUGAAAUCCUGUAAUCCUGGACGGACCGUCGGUGGCGGAAGCGCCUCGGGAAGACGGAUCCGACGGUGAGGGACGAAAGCUAGGGUCUCGAACCGGAUUAGAUACCCCGGUAGUCC